ACGGAUCCUUCGGGAUUAGUGGCAGACGGGUGAGUAACGCGUGGGAAGCUACCUUGUGGUAGGGGACAACAGUUGGAAACGACUGCUAAUACCCUAUGAGCCCUAUGGGGGAAAGAUUUAUCGCCAUGAGAUGUGCCCGCGUUAGAUUAGCUAGUUGGUAAGGUAAUGGCUUACCAAGGCGACGAUCUAUAGCUGGUCUGAGAGGAUGAUCAGCCACACUGGGACUGAGACACGGCCCAGACUCCUACGGGAGGCAGCAGUGGGGAAUAUUGGACAAUGGGGGCAACCCUGAUCCAGCCAUGCCGCGUGUGUGAUGACGGCCUUAGGGUUGUAAAGCACUUUCAGCAGUGAAGAUAAUGACAUUAACUGCAGAAGAAGCCCCG
Molecule: ribosomal RNA, 383 nt
Filed under: Pseudovibrio sp. AU53
Lineage: Bacteria; Pseudomonadati; Pseudomonadota; Alphaproteobacteria; Hyphomicrobiales; Stappiaceae
Description: bacterial SSU rRNA
Rfam family: Bacterial small subunit ribosomal RNA
Source: RNAcentral